Long non-coding RNA from Daphnia carinata, 1523 nucleotides. RefSeq lists it as uncharacterized. The record is from RefSeq and is a predicted model, not a curated record. NCBI's taxonomy places the organism in Eukaryota, Metazoa, Arthropoda, Branchiopoda, Diplostraca, Daphniidae. The transcript has 5 exons.
UUGUUUUUCUAUUGCUUCUUUUUGCCCUCGCCACGAAGAAACCUUAAGUUACAAGCCAGUGGGGAAAAAAGUCGUCUAUUUACCUCUAGUGCACAUGUACCUACCUGCCUUUUCGCAGUUGACUGGCCUAAUCCUGUUCAGCGGACCACCUGUAACGAUGAUUCAUCAUUACACUUUUUCUUGGCAGGCCAAGAUUGGGAGACGCCCUUGCUUAUGCCAAAAAUAAGUGAUGGGAUAAUGCGUAAAACAAUUUUGAGCUGCAUCAUCAAAGAAGACCAGAUUUAUGAAUUGUUUACAUGAAAUUGCCGAUGGGUCACCUUUUAGGUAUAAAUUUAUAAUUCUGUUUUCAUUGCCAUGGUUUUGCUGAGAGGAAGAAAGUGAUGGUGUGGAGCCAAAUGGAUUUAUUACCAAAUAUUAUGCAUUGAAGAUUCGUUCAUACGGGAGGGAAAAUCUUACACUGUAAGAAUCUGUCUGACCUUUCUAGCGGAAAAGCAUUCCAAAGCGACUCGAAGUUUUGCCAUGAGUAUGUUGCGGCUUUUCGACAGGUACAGGCUUUUUCUGUUUCUCCAUCUUCGUUGAAACUGAUGGCCUGUUACCGUUGGCCAUUGACGAAAUGAGAUAGCACACGCCAGCAUUAAUUUUCCGCGCAGGAUAUGGAAUUAUUUGGAAAGUCACUCUCGAGGUCCCUUAUUACCGCCGCUACUUCAUUAACAGCAUUUUGAGGUUCUCUUAACGGCAUCAAGAUGGCGCACUUCUUCUAGCUGCGGGGAAAAAGAAAUCGAAAUCCCGAAGCGUUCGUUGAAGGCAGAACUGAGUUUUAAACUCGUGCACUCAGCGUUAAAUGCCAAAUUCCUGGUGUCGUGCAUCGUCCGUUGUGUGUACGUCCGUGUGCAACGUCCGUUCGGGAAAAAACAAAGUUGAUCAUUGCCAGCAUUCAAUGGAAGAAAUUCUAAAUUCGAGUGAUUAACUUAACCGGGAACAUGGAAAAAAAAGUGGGAUUUGGUCGAAUUACCGGCCGAUAAUCCGUGUUGACUCCUAGCUUCCUCCAUUUAGGGGUACAGCGUUCGCUUUCAAUCGAGCCAAGGUUGUUCAGACUAUGUGGAUCUUUACGACAGUCGUGAAGCCAUUUCGACCUGGAAUGAGCGUCAGACGAUCUCCAAAUGGUCGGACUACGUUCAUCACCAUAUAGCCACCAUUUACCAUGAGUGCAGCCAUGUGUGAUAGCAUAUUGUAGCUAAUGUGGAUCUUUACGACAGUCUUGAAGCCAUUUCGACCUGGAAUUAGCGUCAGACAAUCUCCAAAUGGUCGGACUACGUCCAUCACCAUAUUAGCCACCGUAUACCAUCGCACGUAGUUGAACCUAUGGCAUCCCACCGUAACGGUGCUAGCAAGCUAACACCGUUACUAUCCUUGGAGUGCUUUAUCAAGUCUUUUAUACAGCUCCCCAGAUGAUCCAACCAUCACUACAAUUUUUUUCGGAUUUUGAAGCUUGAUGUAAAAUUCCGCAAACAAGGUAUAAUAUA